Molecule: long non-coding RNA, 316 nt
Filed under: Mytilus galloprovincialis (Mediterranean mussel)
Lineage: Eukaryota; Metazoa; Mollusca; Bivalvia; Mytilida; Mytilidae
Source: RNAcentral
UUGCAAACUCCAUUAGAAAUUUGAAUUGAGAUCAGUUUUGAAAAAGGGAAAGGGGGAUGUGAAAAAAAAAUGGUGGGGGGGGGGGGGGUAAAUUUUUCUCAUUUCAGAUUUCAUAAAUAAAAGAAAAUUUCUUCAAACAUUUUUUGAGAGGAUUAAUAUUCAACAGCAUAGUGAUUGCUCAAAGACAAAAAAAUUAUUUUAAGUUCAUUAGACCACAUUCAUUCUGUGUCCAAAACCUAUGCUGUGUCAACUAUUUAAUCACAAUCCAAUUAAUUAAGCUGAAUCCAGUUUGAAUGUUGUGUCCAUACUUGCCCCA